RNAcentral lists this ribosomal RNA (801 nucleotides) under Corynebacterium phocae. Its description in RNAcentral is "partial 23S ribosomal RNA". It matches the Rfam family "Bacterial large subunit ribosomal RNA", at positions 695 to 1488 of the family's 2925-position model. Lineage: Bacteria; Bacillati; Actinomycetota; Actinomycetes; Mycobacteriales; Corynebacteriaceae. The record is from RNAcentral.
UUUAGUGGCAUGUCCUGGACCCGAAGCGGGGUGAUCUACCCAUGGCCAGUGUGAAGCAGCAGUAAGAUGCUGUGGAGGCGCGAACCCACGUAGGUUGAAAACUGCGGGGAUGAGUUGUGGGUAGGGGUGAAAGGCCAAUCAAACUCCGUGAUAGCUGGUUCUCCCCGAAAUGCAUUUAGGUGCAGCGUCGCAUUAGCUUGGUGGAGGUAGAGCUACUGGUUGGUUGAGCGGGACUACAAUCUUAGCAAUGUCAGCCAAACUCCGAAUGCCAUCAAUGUGUUGUGCGGCAGUGAGACUGUGGGGGAUAAGCUUCAUAGUCGAGAGGGAAACAGCCCAGAUCGCCGGUUAAGGCCCCUAAGGGUGUGCUAAGUGGAAAAGGAUGUGGGAUCGCGAAGACAGCCAGGAGGUUGGCUUAGAAGCAGCCAUCCUUGAAAGAGUGCGUAAUAGCUCACUGGUCGAGUGGUUCCGCGCCGACAAUGUAGUGGGGCUCAAGCACACCGCCGAAGCCGCGGCAAAGAUAAGUAAUAUUGUUUUUGGGUAGGGGAGCGUCGUACAUGUUGUGAAGCGUUAGUGUAAACAGGCGUGGAUUGUGUACGAGUGAGAAUGCAGGCAUGAGUAACGAAUUGUAAGGUGAGAAUCCUUACCGCCGGAUGACUAAGGGUUCCUGGGUCAAGUUCGUCUUCCCAGGGUGAGUCGGGACCUAAGGCGAGGCCGACAGGCGUAGUCGAUGGACAACCAGUUGAUAUUCUGGUACCCGUAUAUAUGCGCCCAUGAUAAAGCAUUGAUACUAACCACCACUGA